UGGGAGCCAUUUUGUGGCUCAGUGGUAGAGCGCUUGCCUAACACAUGUGAGGCACUGGGUUCGAUCCCCAAAACUACAUAAAAAAGCUAAAUUAAAUGAAGGUAUUGUGUCCAUCUACAACUAAAAAUAAAAAAUAAAAUAAACCUCAGGCCGGGCCAGGUGGAGCAUGCCUGUAAUCCCAGCAGUUUGGGAGGCUGUGGCAGGAAGAUCAUGAGUUCAAAGCCAGCCUCAGCAAAAGCAAGGCACUAGCACUCAGUUGUUGGGGACCACAGAUCAAGUCAAGAUGGCGCCUGGCAGUUUGCCAGGAGGAGUGGUUUGUGAAGCUACGCCACCGUGCCAUUAAGUUGGUGGAGAUUCCUUAUUGGCUGAAUGCCAUAACUGGAUGAUGCUAAUUGAGUCUAGCUGUGUGUAAUCAGUUAGGUCUAUAUACCUCUGCUGUUUUGCAAUAAGGCGGCUCCUGCUACCUUGGGUUCCACUACCUUGAGUUCUCGCUCAGUUCCCACUAAGUUUUCCCUACAAUAAAGCAGUUCCCGCUUCAACCUUCAAGUUGCUUGUCACCUCCCAGUUAUUUGCCCAGCCGGACUGCGGCACUCAGUGAGACCCUGUCUCUAAAUAAAAUACAAAAUAGGGCUGGGGACGUGGCUCAGUGGUAGAGUUCAAUCCUCGGUACCCCUCCUCCCAAAAAAAAGUAAUAAUAAAAGGCCUGGAGAGUGAAGGGAUAAUUAAGACUAAAAGUAGUGAAAAACCAGCCUCUACCUCAGAGCAAAGCCUGUCCAAGGAAGGGACAUGACCUUUGUCCUUGAAAAAAACCACAGAGCACUCCUAGGCACAUUCCUACCCUGCAAAGUGGUUUAUCUACAAAUAACAGGAGAGAUCUGCUGCGCCAGGUAUCCCUGUCUCAGGCUAGGUGGGGACCCAUACCAACCCCCAGCAGCCCCAAUCAGCAUGAGACAGGGAAAUACCUGGGAUGCCAGAUGACCCUCCCAGUAGUUUAUGGUGUUGGGAAACCAUGUAGUUCAGCACGAAUACCCCCCUUGGCUUAAACCAAUCAGUUCAAAUGAAUCCCCCUCUGGUACUAACCAAUCACCCUUACCCAACUUGUUCCCGCCAGUGUAUGUGCUAAUCAUGUUUUAGAGUUGUUAUUUGAUUUUCCAGCGGUGUGUGAUGAUUUGCUAAUAGAUACUAUGAUGUAUAUGGGGGUCCCUGCCUUCCCCAAAGAGUGUAUAAAACUGCUGCAAACCCUGGGCUUGGGGCCUCUCAGUGUCACCAGUUGCUGUGUGCACGAGGAGGACCAAGCUAGCUCGAAAUAAAC
RNAcentral lists this long non-coding RNA (1312 nucleotides) under Marmota monax (woodchuck). Lineage: Eukaryota; Metazoa; Chordata; Mammalia; Rodentia; Sciuridae. The record is from RNAcentral.